UCCUUCAUAGCUCAUUUGGUAAAGUGUCUGCCUGCAAUGCAGGAGACCUGGGUUUGAUUCCUGGGUCAGGAA
Molecule: transfer RNA, 72 nt
Filed under: Ovis aries (sheep)
Lineage: Eukaryota; Metazoa; Chordata; Mammalia; Artiodactyla; Bovidae
Rfam family: tRNA
About the family: Transfer RNA (tRNA) molecules are approximately 80 nucleotides in length. Their secondary structure includes four short double-helical elements and three loops (D, anti-codon, and T loops).
Source: Rfam by way of RNAcentral